This 424-nucleotide ribosomal RNA is filed under the name uncultured soil bacterium. RNAcentral's name for it is "partial 16S ribosomal RNA". The stretch from base 1 to 234 matches the Rfam family "Bacterial small subunit ribosomal RNA", at positions 195 to 397 of the family's 1533-position model. The record is from RNAcentral.
UUGUGGGGCAAGGUGGGGAUGGCCCUCACAGGGCGGAUGCGCAGAUCUCAGGCUCUGGUGUGAGUGGGGGUAACGGCCCAUUCAAGGCGACGAUGGGUAGCUGGUCUGAGAGGACGGCGAUGCCACACUGGUACUGGUACACGGUCCAGAACCCUACGGGAGGCAGCAGUGAGGAAUUCUGCGCGGAUGGGCGGUCAGUGCUGACAUCAUGGGAAUGACACGGCGUGGCGAUGCACACGUGAGUGCCCAUGUCCGAGCGUCCGGUCGUAGGCACGCGUAGUGCAAAGGUGUCGCGCGUAUGAGGGAGAAUCAGUCAGCGACCGCUGCGAGCUGUCUUCAGAGUUAUACGUGCGCCACGCGGGAGUGCAAAUAGCACCUGGGUUUACCCCGGUGACCUGAAGUAAUAGGGUAAACGGUCCACCCC